This 2936-nucleotide long non-coding RNA is filed under the name Sus scrofa (pig). RNAcentral's name for it is "lncRNA (ENSSSCG00055000548.1)". Lineage: Eukaryota; Metazoa; Chordata; Mammalia; Artiodactyla; Suidae. The record is from RNAcentral.
UUUUUUUGUUGUUUUUUUUUUUUUGCUUUUCAGGGCCACACCCGAGGCAUAUGGAGGUUGCCAGGCUAGGGGUCGAAUCAGAGCUACAGCUGCUGGCCUACACCACAGCCACAGCAACUUUAGAUCCAAGCUGCAUCUGUGACCUACACCACAGUGCACAGCAAUGAUGGAUCCUUAACUCACUGAGCGAGGCCAGGGAUCAAACCCGUGUCCUCAUGGUUCCUAGUCAAAUUCAUUUCCGCUGCGCCACGAGGGGAACUCCCAGGAGUCAGUUUAAUGUAGUGGCUAAGACCUUGGCCUUUAGAGCUUAACUACCUAGAAAUGGGAUACUGCCUUUACCAUAUAUUGACCACAGGACCAACUACCUUACCUAUCUAACCUUAACUUUCCUCCAUAAGCAUGAUACUAAUAAUGGCAUCUACCACAUAAGAAUACUGUAAGAAUUAUUAAAAAUAAUUAUAUGCAACUAUAUAUAUAGACAUGUAUGUUACAUUCUAUAAUAUAUGGAAAGCAUUUAGGAUGGUUUUUGGUAUAUGGGAAGCACAGAGUAAACCUCAUAAUCUUACUCCCUCCUGCCUCUAAGACCUUCAAAUUCUAUCUUAAAAUCAUAGGGGACCAAUAAAGGCUCUUAAGCAAAGGAACAACUUGAUCAGGUUUUUGUUUUACAAAAACUACUCAAGUGAUGGAGUUCCUGUCAUGACGCAGUGGUUAACAAAUCUGACUAGGAACCAUGAGGUUGCAGGCCCACGAUGGGAACUCCAAGGUUUACUACCUAUGUUUUCUUCUAGGAGCUUUAGGGUUUUGGAUCUUACAUUAAAGUCUUUAAUUCAUUUUGAGUUUAUUUUUGCAUAUGGUAUGAAAAAAGUGAUACAGUUUCAUCCAUUUUCAUGUAUCUGUCCGGUUGUCCCAACACCAUUUAUCAAAGAGACUGUUUUCUCUCUACUAUACAGUUUACCCUUGAACAACACAGGUUUUAACUGUGCUGGUCUACUUAAAUAUGUAUUUUUUACACUAAAUACAUACUACAGUACUACACUAUAAAUGGCUGAAUAUGCAGAUGUGUAACCAGAGAUAUGAAGGGUCAACUGUAAAUCUAACUCAGAUUUUGACUGUACAGAGAGUUGGUGACCCUAAGCCCAUAUUGUUCAAGGGUCGACUGUAUAUUCCUACCUCUUUGUCAUAGUUUAAUCGACCAUAUAAUGGUAGGUUUAUUUCUGGGUUCUCUAUUCUGUUCCAUUGGUCUGUUUUCGUGCCAUUACCAUACUACUUUGAUGAAUACAGAUUUGUAGCAGACUUUGAAAUCAUUGAGCAUGACACCUCCAUCCUUGUUCUUUCUCAAUACCACUUUGGCUAUUCAAGGUCUUUUGUGAUUCCAUGUAAAUUUUAGGAUUAUUUAUUCUAAUUCGGUGAAAAAUACCAUUGGUAUUUUGAUAGGGUUUGUAUUGAAUCUAUAGAUUCUCUUUUCUUUCAUCCGUCUCCAGUUUCCAGAAUACAGGUCUUUCACCUUCCUAGGUAGGUUUAUUUCUAGCUAUUUUACUUUUUCUGAUGCUAUUGUAUACAGGGUGGUUUCCCUAGCUUUUCUUUUUGAUAGUUUAUUAUUAGCAUUUAGAAAAGCAACAGAUUGCUAUAUAUUAGUUUUGUAUCCUGGAACAGCUUGAGUGGAUUCAUUUAUUAGCUCUAAUAGUUUUUCAUUGGAGUCUUUUGAGUUUUCUAUACAUAACACCAUGUCAUCUACAAAUAGUGACAGUAGUGCAUCUUCCUUUCCAAUCUGGAUGCUCCUUCUUUCUUUUUUCUUGUCUUAUUGCCGUGGCUAGGACUUCUGUAACUAAGCUGUGGGGCUCCCGGGCACAAAAGCUAUUUCUUAUUUUUAAGAAAUGGGCCUCUUUCAACCUCCAUGACCUUCCCUGAGUUCCAAGGGGAAGGUUCAGACAGCUGCUGAUCAGGAAAAAAAGGUGAUGCAAAGAUAAAGUAGGAACAGUCAAUAAUAAUACAGCUUUGGGGCAGGGUACUGGUUCCCUCUCAAGGGAUACCCAUAAUGACAUAAGCAUCUUAUACACCUAAGAGAAAAGUUAUAUUCUUUAUAUUGCUUUUAGAAAUGAAUACUUUAAAACUGAAUGGCUUAGAGCCCUUCCUUGUGCUUCUCCCUCAUUGGACUGCAUGCUAAACAUGAUUGCCUACAAGCUAAAUGUUAGGCACUCUAAGCACAACUGCCUGUGAGUUAAAGAUUAUUAAUUAGCACAUGGUGUUUUUCAGAAACAUUUCUAGUUUGCUCUAAUCUCUGAUCAAUACAGCCUUUUUGCAAAUACUGUCAUUCUAGGCAAUGAACCAGAAGACCACCACCAGGAUCAGGCUGAGAUCUCCUGAUGCCAGUUUUAAUGACUAAGAUUCCCCUAAAGAAAGAAGAAUGCGUGUUUGUCCCAAUCCUGAUUCCUAUCUGAAACUCUAUUUUCCUGCUUUUAGGCUAUUAAACUCCCUUCAAUUUUCCCCCAAAGAGGGCACAGUCUUUAGGCAUUAGCUUUCUGUCCUCCUUUGCCUGGUAGAGAAAUUUUAAAGCUGUUUUUUCUCCUUCAACCAAAACUCUGUCUCUGUGAUUCUAUUCAGCACAAAGGCCCAAUUUCAGCAACACUUCAGCAAUACUAUGCUGAAAAAAGUGGCAAGAGGGAGUUCCCGUUGUGGCGCAGUGGUUAAGGAAUCUGACUAGGAACCAUGAUGUUGCGGGUUCUGUCCCUGCCCUUGCUCAGUGGGUUAACGAUCCAGCGUUGCCAUGAGCUGUGGUGUAGGUCGCAGAUGCGGUUCGGAUCCCGCUUUGCUGUGGCUCUGGCGUAGGCUGCUGGCUACAGCUCCGAUUGGACCCCUAGCCUGGGAACAUCCCAUAUGCCAAGGGAGCGGCCCAAGAAAUGGCAGAAAGACAAAAAAAAAAAAAAAAAAAAAAAAGU